GAUCUCGUAGCUCAGCUGGGAGAGCGCUACCCUGACACGGUAGAGGUCGCUGGUUCAAGUCCAGUCGGGAUCACCA
RNAcentral lists this transfer RNA (76 nucleotides) under Alkalibacter saccharofermentans DSM 14828. RNAcentral describes it as "tRNA_Val_GAC". It matches the Rfam family "tRNA". From Rfam's summary of the family: Transfer RNA (tRNA) molecules are approximately 80 nucleotides in length. RNAcentral also lists the same sequence under 3 other names. Lineage: Bacteria; Bacillati; Bacillota; Clostridia; Eubacteriales; Eubacteriaceae. The record is from RNAcentral.